UUUAUGGAGAGUUUGAUCCUGGCUCAGGAUGAACGCUGGCGGCGUGCCUAAUACAUGCAAGUCGAGCGAACGGACGAGAAGCUUGCUUCUCUGAUGUUAGCGGCGGACGGGUGAGUAACACGUGGAUAACCUACCUAUAAGACUGGGAUAACUUCGGGAAACCGGAGCUAAUACCGGAUAAUAUUUUGAACCGCAUGGUUCAAAAGUGAAAGACGGUCUUGCUGUCACUUAUAGAUGGAUCCGCGCUGCAUUAGCUAGUUGGUAAGGUAACGGCUUACCAAGGCAACGAUGCAUAGCCGACCUGAGAGGGUGAUCGGCCACACUGGAACUGAGACACGGUCCAGACUCCUACGGGAGGCAGCAGUAGGGAAUCUUCCGCAAUGGGCGAAAGCCUGACGGAGCAACGCCGCGUGAGUGAUGAAGGUCUUCGGAUCGUAAAACUCUGUUAUUAGGGAAGAACAUAUGUGUAAGUAACUGUGCACAUCUUGACGGUACCUAAUCAGAAAGCCACGGCUAACUACGUGCCAGCAGCCGCGGUAAUACGUAGGUGGCAAGCGUUAUCCGGAAUUAUUGGGCGUAAAGCGCGCGUAGGCGGUUUUUUAAGUCUGAUGUGAAAGCCCACGGCUCAACCGUGGAGGGUCAUUGGAAACUGGAAAACUUGAGUGCAGAAGAGGAAAGUGGAAUUCCAUGUGUAGCGGUGAAAUGCGCAGAGAUAUGGAGGAACACCAGUGGCGAAGGCGACUUUCUGGUCUGUAACUGACGCUGAUGUGCGAAAGCGUGGGGAUCAAACAGGAUUAGAUACCCUGGUAGUCCACGCCGUAAACGAUGAGUGCUAAGUGUUAGGGGGUUUCCGCCCCUUAGUGCUGCAGCUAACGCAUUAAGCACUCCGCCUGGGGAGUACGACCGCAAGGUUGAAACUCAAAGGAAUUGACGGGGACCCGAACAAGCGGUGGAGCAUGUGGUUUAAUUCGAAGCAACGCGAAGAACCUUACCAAAUCUUGACAUCCUUUGACAACUCUAGAGAUAGAGCCUUCCCCUUCGGGGGACAAAGUGACAGGUGGUGCAUGGUUGUCGUCAGCUCGUGUCGUGAGAUGUUGGGUUAAGUCCCGCAACGAGCGCAACCCUUAAGCUUAGUUGCCAUCAUUAAGUUGGGCACUCUAAGUUGACUGCCGGUGACAAACCGGAGGAAGGUGGGGAUGACGUCAAAUCAUCAUGCCCCUUAUGAUUUGGGCUACACACGUGCUACAAUGGACAAUACAAAGGGCAGCGAAACCGCGAGGUCAAGCAAAUCCCAUAAAGUUGUUCUCAGUUCGGAUUGUAGUCUGCAACUCGACUACAUGAAGCUGGAAUCGCUAGUAAUCGUAGAUCAGCAUGCUACGGUGAAUACGUUCCCGGGUCUUGUACACACCGCCCGUCACACCACGAGAGUUUGUAACACCCGAAGCCGGUGGAGUAACCUUUUAGGAGCUAGCCGUCGAAGGUGGGACAAAUGAUUGGGGUGAAGUCGUAACAAGGUAGCCGUAUCGGAAGGUGCGGCUGGAUCACCUCCUUUCU
Molecule: ribosomal RNA, 1554 nt
Filed under: Staphylococcus aureus
Lineage: Bacteria; Bacillati; Bacillota; Bacilli; Caryophanales; Staphylococcaceae
Description: 16S ribosomal RNA
Rfam family: Bacterial small subunit ribosomal RNA
Source: RNAcentral